AUUGAACGCUGGCGGCAGGCUUAACACAUGCAAGUCGAGCGGAGUGAUGGUGCUUGCACUAUCACUUAGCGGCGGACGGGUGAGUAAUGCUUAGGAAUCUGCCUAUUAGUGGGGGACAACAUCUCGAAAGGGAUGCUAAUACCGCAUACGCCCUACGGGAGAAAGCAGGGGAUCACUUGUGACCUUGCGCUAAUAGAUGAGCCUAAGUCGGAUUAGCUAGUUGGUGGGGUAAAGGCCUACCAAGGCGACGAUCUGUAGCGGGUCUGAGAGGAUGAUCCGCCACACUGGGACUGAGACACGGCCCAGACUCCUACGGGAGGCAGCAGUGGGGAAUAUUGGACAAUGGGGGGAACCCUGAUCCAGCCAUGCCGCGUGUGUGAAGAAGGCCUUAUGGUUGUAAAGCACUUUAAGCGAGGAGGAGGCUCUUUUGGUUAAUACCCAAGAUGAGUGGACGUUGCUCGCAGAAUAAGCACCGGCUAACUCUGUGCCAGCCGCCGCCGUAA
RNAcentral lists this ribosomal RNA (503 nucleotides) under uncultured bacterium. Its description in RNAcentral is "partial 16S ribosomal RNA". It matches the Rfam family "Bacterial small subunit ribosomal RNA", at positions 30 to 523 of the family's 1533-position model. The record is from RNAcentral.